UUUCAAGUCAGGAGUGAAAGGCUACGGCUCAACCGUAGUAAGCUCUUGAAACUGGGAGACUUGAGUGCAGGAGAGGAGAGUGGAAUUCCUAGUGUAGCGGUGAAAUGCGUAGAUAUUAGGAGGAACACCAGUUGCGAAGGCGGCUCUCUGGACUGUAACUGACGCUGAGGCACGAAAGCGUGGGGAGCAAACAGGAUUAGAUGCCCUGGUAGUCCACGCUGUAAACGAUGAGUACUAGGUGUCGGGGGUUACCCCCCUCGGUGCCGCAGCUAACGCAUUAAGUACUCCGCCUGGGAAGUACGCUCGCAAGAGUGAAACUCAAAGGAAUUGACGGGGACCCG
This 341-nucleotide ribosomal RNA is filed under the name Clostridioides difficile. RNAcentral describes it as "bacterial SSU rRNA". It matches the Rfam family "Bacterial small subunit ribosomal RNA", at positions 581 to 923 of the family's 1533-position model. The record is from RNAcentral. Lineage: Bacteria; Bacillati; Bacillota; Clostridia; Peptostreptococcales; Peptostreptococcaceae.